GCUUAGGGAGGAGCUUGCGUCACAUUAGUUAGUUGGUGGGGUAAAGGCCUACCAAGACUAUGAUGUGUAGCCGGGCUGAGAGGUUGAACGGCCACAUUGGGACUGAGACACGGCCCAAACUCCUACGGGAGGCAGCAGUAGGGAAUUUUCGGCAAUGGAGGAAACUCUGACCGAGCAACGCCGCGUGAACGAUGAAGUAUUUCGGUACGUAAAGUUNUUUUAUUAGGGAAGAAUAAAUGAUGGAAAAAUCAUUCUGACGGUACCUAAUGAAUAAGCCCCGGCUAACUAUGUGCCAGCAGCCGCGGUAAUACAUAGGGGGCAAGCGUUAUCCGGAAUUAUUGGGCGUAAAGGGUGCGUAGGCGGUUAAAUAAGUUUAUGGUCUAAGUGCAAUGCUCAACAUUGUGAUGCUAUAAAAACUGUUUAGCUAGAGUAAGAUAGAGGCAAGUGGAAUUCCAUGUGUAGUGGUAAAAUGCGUAAAUAUAUGGAGGAACACCAGUAGCGAAGGCGGCUUGCUGGGUCUUUACUGACGCUGAGGCACGAAAGCGUGGGGAGCAAACAGGAUUAGAUACCCUGGUAGUCCACGCCGUAAACGAUGAGUACUAAACGUUGGGUAAAACCAGUGUUGAAGUUAACACAUUAAGUACUCCGCCUGAGUAGUACGUACGCAAGUAUGAAACUUAAAGGAAUUGACGGGACUCCGCACAAGCGGUGGAUCAUGUUGUUUAAUUCGAAGGUACCCGAAAAACCUCACCAGGUCUUGACAUGCUUCUGCAAAACUGUAGAAACACAGUGGAGGUUAUCAGUUGCACAGGUGGUGCAUGGUUGUCGUCAGCUCGUGUCGUGAGAUGUUGGGUUAAGUCCCGCAACGAGCGCAACCCUUAUUGUUAGUUACCAGCACGUAAUGGNGGNACUUUAGCAAGACUGCCGGUGAUAA
This 934-nucleotide ribosomal RNA is filed under the name Candidatus Phytoplasma asteris-related phytoplasma. RNAcentral describes it as "bacterial SSU rRNA". It matches the Rfam family "Bacterial small subunit ribosomal RNA", at positions 217 to 1161 of the family's 1533-position model. Lineage: Bacteria; Bacillati; Mycoplasmatota; Mollicutes; Acholeplasmatales; Acholeplasmataceae. The record is from RNAcentral.